AGAGUUUGAUCCUGGCUCAGAUUGAACGCUGGCGGCAUGCUUUACACAUGCAAGUCGAACGGCAGCACGGGGGUAACCCUGGUGGCGAGUGGCGAACGGGUGAGUAAUAUAUCGGAACAUGUCCGGAAGUGGGGGAUAACGUAGCGAAAGUUACGCUAAUACCGCAUAUGCCCUGAGGGGGAAAGGAGGGGAUCCGCAAGGACCUUUCGCUUUCGGAGUGGCCGAUAUCAGAUUAGCUAGUUGGUGGGGUAAAGGCCCACCAAGGCGACGAUCUGUAGCGGGUCUGAGAGGAUGAUCCGCCACACUGGGACUGAGACACGGCCCAGACUCCUACGGGAGGCAGCAGUGGGGAAUUUUGGACAAUGGGGGAAACCCUGAUCCAGCCAUGCCGCGUGAGUGAAGAAGGCCUUCGGGUUGUAAAGCUCUUUCAGCCGGAAAGAAAUCGCUACUCCUAAUACGAGUGGUGGAUGACGGUACCGGAAGAAGAAGCACCGGCUAACUACGUGCCAGCAGCCGCGGUAAUACGUAGGGUGCGAGCGUUAAUCGGAAUUACUGGGCGUAAAGCGUGCGCAGGCGGUUUUGUAAGACAGGCGUGAAAUCCCCGGGCUUAACCUGGGAACUGCGUUUGUGACUGCAAGGCUAGAGUGUGGCAGAGGGGGGUAGAAUUCCGCGUGUAGCAGUGAAAUGCGUAGAUAUGCGGAGGAAUACCGAUGGCGAAGGCAGCCCCCUGGGUCAACACUGACGCUCAUGCACGAAAGCGUGGGGGAGCAAACAGGAUUAGAUACCCUGGUAGUCCACGC
RNAcentral lists this ribosomal RNA (800 nucleotides) under uncultured bacterium. RNAcentral's name for it is "bacterial SSU rRNA". It matches the Rfam family "Bacterial small subunit ribosomal RNA", at positions 8 to 800 of the family's 1533-position model. The record is from RNAcentral.